This is a non-coding RNA of Ataeniobius toweri, 96 nucleotides long. Lineage: Eukaryota; Metazoa; Chordata; Actinopteri; Cyprinodontiformes; Goodeidae. The record is from the annotation of a GenBank genome assembly.
GGCGCUGAUGGUGUAGGGGUUAAAGCACGCGCCCAUAUACGGAGGCUACAGUCCUCGAAGCAGCCGUCCCGGGUUCGAGUCCCGGACCUGGCGACA